RNAcentral lists this ribosomal RNA (376 nucleotides) under uncultured organism. RNAcentral's name for it is "partial 16S ribosomal RNA". It matches the Rfam family "Bacterial small subunit ribosomal RNA", at positions 527 to 897 of the family's 1533-position model. The record is from RNAcentral.
GUAGGUGGCAAGCGUUGUCCGGAAUUAUUGGGGCGUAAAGCGCGCGCAGGCGGUCCUUUAAGGUCUGAUGUGAAAGCCCACGGGCUCAACCGUGGAGGGUCAUUGGAAACUGGGGGACUUGAGUACAGAAGAGGAAAGCGGAAUUCCACGUGUAGCGGUGAAAUGCGUAGAGAUGUGGAGGAACACCAGUGGCGAAGGCGGCUUUCUGGUCUGUAACUGACGCUGAGGCGCGAAAGCGUGGGGAGCAAACAGGAUUAGAUACCCUGGUAGUCCACGCCGUAAACGAUGAGUGCUAAGUGUUAGGGGGUUUCCGCCCCUUAGUGCUGCAGCUAACGCAUUAAGCACUCCGCCUGGGGAGUACGGCCGCAAAGGCUGA